CCUACGGGCGGCUGCAGUGGGGAAUAUUGGUCAAUGGGCGAGAGCCUGAACCAGCGAAGUCGCGUGAGGGAUGAAGGAUCUCUGGUUUGUAAACUUCUUUUAUAUGGGAGUAAGGUGAGGAACGUGUUCCUUUUUGUAUGUACCAUAUGAGUAAACAUCGGCUAACUCCGUUCCAGCAGCCGCGGUAAUACGGAGGAUGCGAGCGUUAUCCGGAUUUAUUGGGUUUAAAGGGUGCGUAGGUGGUUAAUUAAGUCAGCGGUGAAAGUUUGUGGCUCAACCAUAAAAUUGCCGUUGAAACUGGUUGACUUGAGUAUAUGUGAGGUAGGCGGAAUGCGUGGUGUAGCGGUGAAAUGCAUAGAUAUCACGCAGAACGCCGAUGGCGAAGGCAGCUUACUAAACUAUAACUGACACUGAAGCACGAAAGCGUGGGGAUCAAACAGGAUUAGAUACCCGGGUAGUC
Molecule: ribosomal RNA, 460 nt
Filed under: uncultured bacterium
Lineage: Bacteria
Description: partial 16S ribosomal RNA
Rfam family: Bacterial small subunit ribosomal RNA
Source: RNAcentral